This is a long non-coding RNA of Acinonyx jubatus (cheetah), 5402 nucleotides long. RefSeq lists it as uncharacterized. The record is from RefSeq and is a predicted model, not a curated record. NCBI's taxonomy places the organism in Eukaryota, Metazoa, Chordata, Mammalia, Carnivora, Felidae. The transcript is spliced from 2 exons.
AGACGUGUUUAGUAACGAUCAUAAUCAGGGUAAGAACCACUUUCAAAUCUCGGGGCCUUCUUAACACAAGUCUUUGGUAACCCAAGCGUAACAGGCAUCACUCACGAAUCUGCUUUGACUUCACUCCUCGGCCCCCACUUGCCACCCGCCUGCUCCCCAGCACCCCGUUUGCCCACUUCCCGUGGCUCAGCCUACACUUGACCCCCAGGAGCCAUCUCCCCUUGGGGCCGAGGAAUCCUGUGUCCUUUUCCUGGAAGGACAUAGCCUUCCCGCUGUCCACGGCCCUCCUCUUCUCCCGCCGUACAGAGCUCACCUUCGAUGGCCUCUUUGUGCCUGGUUCACAGAGGCCAGAGCCCGAAGUCGGGGCUCAGACACUUCCACAGGUGAGCAGGGCAUCUGAGCGGCCCCCUUCGGACAGGUCAGGGACCCCAGGCCACGUCCAGCACAGACCCCUCAGCUACCAGCCAGCAGAGAGGACUCGUGGGGCAGGGGUGGGGGAAGUAACCUCCAUGAUAGACUUGGAGCUGUCGCUUAACUGGGGACGUGGCUGCUUGCAGUCAGGUUGGGCAGGGCAAGGGGGUUGGUGAACAGAACCUUCCGGAGACAUCAACCCAGAGAAAAGCCGAGCCUCUCGUGCUCUUUCCUUGGAGCGGCCGCCCACGGCAGAAAGCCACCGGGGUCUCUAGCAUCUCCCAGUGGCCCAGGCCUUGACCGUGCUCAGCGCCAAGGCAAGAUGCGGCCGGGCUCCCAGAGACUCUCCCGAGCCCCACGCUUGCCCUCCCCGGUGUGCCACACGGUCUGAGGAUGGUUCCAGAGUAAACCAUGCCGCCUUUGAGCCCACCCUCUCCCCUGGAAAGGGUAAUCAGAAUUAGUGGCUGCCCGUAAUAACAAAACCCACAAAAGAGAAGCCAGAGCGGUCCGGAGUCUUGUUCUGAGUGCUUUCCCAGGAUGCCAUGCUGACUGGCCAUCUGAUGGUGCCCCCACCAUCCUGUGCAGCUAAUAGCUCCUGUGUUUCCUGAGAAAGGCCUGGAACAUUCCACCCAAGCCCCCUCGUGAACCUCUGUCAGUCAGCCUGGCAGGGGCCCAACAACACGCUUAGCGCGCCCGGCUCUUGUGAAGCUAGCCCAGAGCCACUGCUCCAGGAGUACAGGGGCCCCUGGUGGCGUGCAGUGCCCCCGCUCCGGAACGCUGACCCUGACCGCAGUUGUUCAGAGGGUUGCCCGAUCCCCCGGCGGUCACGUCCUGGCUCCAUAUCCUAUUUAUUGUUUGUGCCGGACAGACUCUUCUCCCUCGUUACUUUGCAGCGUGAGCUCGAGUUUGCUGUGCGUUACGCAACUAGACAGAACACGUUGGCCUGUUUCAGUGUGGCUUGUACGAAUAGCUUUAUUCUCAUUUUAAACAGGUUCUCGACUUUUCUGAGGUUUGGGGGUGGGGGGAGUUUUCCAAAACCGCAGAUGACAAUGCAAAACAACCAUUGAAGGUGGUAGCCCCAGCCAGGAGACUGAAUGACACUAGAAAUCAUCAGGAGGAGACCUCCUUGGGACCCCAGAUCACUAUGCAAAACAAAACGAAACGCAACAAGAACCCAGAAGCCCCCGGAUGGCCGGCUCUCUGAAUAACAGUCACUCACCCUGUAGUACUCCUGCCGGCUGCCUGGUCCACCUCUGGCUCAGAAGCCACUUCCCCACCAACCUUCCCCAAGGCCACAGCCUCUAAGGCACGCCCACCCAUAGCAAGGAAGGGUGUCGGGAUAAAGCGUGGCCUCUGCAGAGCCCUUGUGGCUGGAUCCCGCUGGACUCCCGGUCACCUGGAUCACAAGCAGGCAAAGAAAUUCCCAAGAAGGAAUCUGGAACUGAAACACCCCACCAGGCUUGAAAAGUAGGAAGAAGCCACACGCUGCACCUGAAGAAGAAAGGGAAUGGUUUUCCUGAAAGCUUCCAGUUAUCCCCUCGCCUAAGGUCUAUCUUUAAAUUUCGGGAGACAUCGCUGAUACACAGGCUUCCUUAGAACCUUAGGAUGAGUGUUAUCCAGAGAUGCCCCUGCCUCUGGGGGCUACACAGCGACGCCCAGGCCUUGGCUGGGCAGCUUCCAAAUCAGAAUUGCACUUUAAUUGACUAACCCUCCAUUCUCGAGGCCUUACGGGAUAGUGGGUCUGGGGACCCAUCGCGUUCUUACCUGCCAAAGAACUACCCAGAAGCACAUCAAAUUGCCAACACCCCACCUGCAUGGCAGGAGGGGGGAGGUGAGAAACUUUUGUACCCCAAACAUACUUCUUUAUAGCAUCUGCGGCACUGUUUGGAACUGUUUUCUUUUUAACCUCAGGAUUUAAAUAAAGCAAACACUAUGACACAGGGAGUAGCGUCGUCUUUCUUUGCACCGGGACCUGAGGCGAGUGAUGAAGUUACCCAGACCGGACCGGGGGUGUGGAGUCACCCUGCUGGGACAUAGAGCAUCGGCUUGUACCCCGGCUUUUUAGAAGGGCUCGAGCCACCAGAUGCUCCGAGAGGUUUGCCGUGUGGCCUGGCAUCUGGGUACUCCCACCCCCGCCUACCGUGAGGUUGGCGUUCGGGCCUGCUGGAGUCAAGGCACCCUUCCAACCCGGCUGCUCUCCGCCAGAUGAGCAGAGAACACAAUGGUGACCUACCAGGACGGUGUGGGGGAAGGGGGGGAUGGUCACGGAUGCCCUAAAACCAUGCUCAGUUGGCCUGUGGUACAAAGCUGGGCAAAACCACAGGGCCAAGGCAGCUGGCGGAGGAAGGAGUCACAUUCCCACCGUAACUUAACGCCUACUCCUGCUGAAUCAGCAGAGACCUGACACAGACCCAGAAGGGGCGGGACCCCAUCACCCCUGAACUGGUCAGAUGGAGCACACUCACCCCACACCCCGCAUCUGAGGAUCACAGCCCCCCUUCCCUCCCUCUCCUUUCCUCCUCCAACCCUCCCCUGGCACCCAGAUUCUCAUGUGGCCUCUUCUCUGAUCAGUUACACAGGAAUAAGUUCUAUUUUCUGUAACCGUAACCAUGUUCUCCCUUGAGGGCAGGCACCGUGUUUCCUUCAUCUCCUUCCUUUCUCUCAGCCCCACAGCGUCGAGCACCAUGCCAGACACAGAAGCGCUCAGCAGUUACCGAGUCAAUGAGGCCACCAGCCGAUCCCCAUGCUUGGUCAGCUCUGAAGCCAUCGCCAAUCCCAUUGGCCAACUUGGCCAGGGACAGGAGCCCCUGUAGCCCCCAUGGCACAGAAGGGCAAAGGACAAGCCUCCAGGAGGGGGUGUGGGGAGAAUGGAGGUCUGCCCUUUCGGUUUGAAGAUGCGUGGGAAAAAUCUGGCGAGAGGAGUUUGCCACCCACACAGAUCGGCGAAACCUGUCACCCCAGAUGAGAAAAUGGACUUUUUUUUUGUUUGUUUGAGAGAGAGAAGUUGAGCCGAAGCCAUCAGAAGCCAGGCGGAGAGCACAGCUAUCAUGAAAGCCGUUCAAAGUGGGUUAGGGUUGACAGAAAGGUCAGCCUUCUGUGUUCCCCACAAGGUGGUUUCUGGAGGAGGGUGAACCGGAGCGCAAGUGUGAUCGCCGGCCUCUGGGGUUUGAUACCUGUACCCCCGUCCCUCCCCAGCCCCCCUGCCCUCCCCCCCUCCCCCCCGGCGCUCUGCGGGAGGACGGGGCCCUGGUGUGGUUUCCUCACACCUUCGGGCAUGUAUGGACUGCGGUUGUCUCAGACGCGGCAGCCCCAUCUGAAGCCUGGAAUGAACUGUCUUCUUUGCUAAAAAAGAAAAAAAAAAAAAGAACAAAGUCAGGCAUCAGCAAACCCGGCGCACGUGAGCGUCCUUACCAAAAGGAAGGCCUCGGACCCAGACCAGGUGGGGCUUGCGGGCCUGUGGCUCCCUAGAAUCACCAAAGGGAAGGCAAUUUCAAGUCAGGAGGGCCUCCCUCGCUUUCUGCCGCGGAGGAAGCCUCCGGCUGAGCCACGAGGAGAGAAGGAAGUUUCCCGCAAGGGCCUGGAUACCCGUCGGUCAGGUCGGUGGAACGGGUACUGUCUUCUUCCCAGGAGGAAGGAAGGGGUGAGGGGAGGGGAGACGGGGGGAGGUGGUGAGGAAAGAGAGGUACAUGGGAGGGGCCUCCCAGAGGCCUCGGGGAGGGCCGGGCCGGAGUCUGGGUUAGCAGAACUCACCUUUCUCAUCGGAGGAAAUGGCAGUGUCCGUGUGGCCAAGGCCAACCACCACAUCCAGCAGAGGCAACAUUUAAAUAGAAGGAAGACCUGGACGGUUUGCCAAAAAGACACGGAAGGCAGUGGCUGGAGACACGGGAAAGGUAGUCGGGUUUGUUCCUGUGUCUCUGGGCUUGGCUUCAGGGCUUCCUAUGCUCUCACAGAAAGGCCCUGAGGAGGGACGGCAGCCAGAGUCCUCCCCCCGCCGCCAGGCCUUUGCACAAGGGACGGGGUCCGUGUGUGGGACCAGAGGUCUUGGCAGGCACCGCCCUUCUCCACCAGCAAGGACCCCCGUGGAACCGUCGAGUCUUCUCAGAACGAGGACCACACGCUCACGGCCAUGCCAACUCUGGUUCAUCAGGCUGAGCCACCCAGAAGCCUGCUAGUGGAUCAGCGCAGGUGACCCGCUGGGCCACCCCGAGGUCCUUGAGGGUCACUGCCGUGUCACCACUGCGGUCAGAGCUUGAGGAAAGGGGUGAAACGAACUCAUGGAUCUGUCCUCGAAUUUCACUUCGCCAGUGACCCCUGAACCUUGGAAUGGGGACUUCUCCAACCUCAGCCCGUUGGCCCAAGCGCCGGGACACAGGGGCAGCGACUUCCUUCUUGGAGAGGAAGCUACUUCCAAACAAACCACCGGGGAGGAAACUAUUCUACGGGCAAAAGUUUUCACAGCCGCCAUUUCUUCCACGGCUCGUGUUUGCCUUCAAGGACAUGUUGCUCACUGACAGAUCGUUCCUCAAUGGGGAAACAUCCCCUGCCCCAAAUCCAAAGUGGCUCCAUCCAUGUCCAAAAUUUCAGAGUUCCAGGAAGAAACGGGAGUUCAGUGCCGAUGGAUACGUGACGGGGGAGGUCGGGUCAAACAUGGGCUCCUCACCCGGUCCAUACACAGAACUCAGACGGUCCGGGAACUUGGAUAGGGGGAAAAUGGCCUCUUUCCCCUGACUCUGCACUAAAAUGUAGAUCUUCCCCCCACCGUGAAUGUAAACAACGUGUCACACUAGCACAUGUCAGCAAGGGCUGUGAUUUCGUCGCCAAUGGAAAUGACAGAUGUUUUCAUAUUUAACAGACUCUCAAAAUCUCAUCUCCGCUCUACAACAAAGGUUGUCAUCACACCCGCUGGUCGAUUUUACUUAAUGCAUUAAUAAUGAAAAAAAAAAAAGGCACAGAUGUUACUGGUUCGUAGAUUUGUUCUGAUUUUUAGAGGA